Long non-coding RNA from Capsicum annuum, 1496 nucleotides. RefSeq lists it as uncharacterized. The transcript is spliced from 4 exons. The record is from RefSeq and is a predicted model, not a curated record. Lineage: Eukaryota; Viridiplantae; Streptophyta; Magnoliopsida; Solanales; Solanaceae.
GUGGCAUGCCUCAAUGAUCAAAGAUUUAUUUUUUUUCAGUUUUUUUGGGGAUUUCUUUCAACUUUAAUUACUAUUUUCUUUUAACUCUAUUCAUUUAAUUAAUUAAGAUUUUCAUUAAUUGCUGUUUAGUAACCCCCACACGCACGUAGCAGCAAAACGUUGAAUUUAUUUGCUUCAAAUCAAACUAUCCGACUUUCUCUUUUCCUUCACCAAUUAAUUUUAUCCUUCUCAAACAUUCUAUAAUAAAAUCGAAUGGUUUGCAGUAAACAUGCCUCUGAAAAGUUUUAUACUGGCAACAGACGCUCUUAUGUGUUCUUCUAAAUUGUUGUUGUUUGUUCGGAUUCUCUAAUCGGGAUGUGUUAAAGGGGAUUGCUAAGCGAGAGAAAUGGGAUUUGAAGGACUUGACAACUUUCAAAUUGGAUGCCAAGAAAUUCAAGUUUGGAACUUUAAGAAAAUAUGAGUUUCGGGUCCAAAUUGGGAUGACGAAAUUCGUAUUCAUGAUAGAAGAUGAAAUAUUCCAGUGGGAAAACCUUCAGUUUCAUGAUAAGAAUGGAUCCGACUUUGACUCUUUGUUCAAAGAGAUUGUUUCUAAGGCCACUCUUGAUGUACUACAAACUCAAUGGUCAUUUGAAUUGUAUGCUACCGGGAAUGCUCACCUCUCCUUGACGUUCCCAGUAUGAAUCAUAAACAUAGAUAGCCUAUGUGAUUCUCCUACUUUAAUCUCCAGGCCUUCAAGAUCCUUAUUUAACAAAGAAAAUAAUGUGGAAUUGAGAUCAGCAGAAGAGUCUUCUAAAGAAGUUGAUCAUGGCCAAACUGGGCUCAGAACAUCAAUAUUUGAUUAGAAAGGAUCUGAUUAUUUGCCAAGCUGGGCUUAGAACAUCAAUAGUUAAUUGUAAAAGAAUUGAUCAUGGCCAAGCUGGGGUCAGAACAUCAAUAGUUGAAUGCGUGGAACAGUAUCAUCCCGGUGUCUUCAUUACAUUAACAGUGCUGCCAAGAAAGUAGGGACUCAGGCGAGUCAAGUUCAGGAAAGAGUUUACUGAGAAGGAAGCAAAAAAGUGAUGGGAAGAAAAUCAACUUUUUGUCUGUACAAAGUAUGAUGUUGAAGGAUAUGAAAUUCUAAACCAAGGUUUGCUGAAGAAGUAGCAGUUUUCUUUUUCUUUGUGAUGUAAAUUGAACAUGAUUACAAUAGUGGUUCAUGUUAGACAAGGUGUUUUUCAAUCACCUUAACGUUUUGAGCAUACUUUGAUAAGCAUACUUUCUCUAUUUAAUUACUUUUGAGGUCUAUAUCAAGUGCCAUUUGAGCUCCUUGAGUUUGUUAUCGUAGAAGAUACACUUAAGUUCUAUAGUUUUUGAUAAUUUCAUCCUUCUUUUAAUUGAGAUCUAAGGGGUCGUUUAUGUGAGGUAUAAGUAAUAAUAGUCCUUGGGAUAAAAUGUGGGAUUAUUUUAUGGAUAAAUUACUUUAUAACCACACCUUAAGUUUCUAUUAUUACUUAAAA